RNAcentral lists this ribosomal RNA (253 nucleotides) under uncultured bacterium. RNAcentral's name for it is "partial 16S ribosomal RNA". It matches the Rfam family "Bacterial small subunit ribosomal RNA", at positions 524 to 776 of the family's 1533-position model. The record is from RNAcentral.
UACGAAGGGGGCGAGCGUUGUUCGGAAUCACUGGGCGUAAAGGGCGCGUAGGCGGCCCUCUUAGUCGAGUGUGAAAGCCCCCGGCUCAACUGGGGAGGGUCAUUCGAAACUGGUCGACUCGAAGGCAGGAGAGGGUAGUGGAAUUCCCGGUGUAGUGGUGAAAUGCGUAGAUAUCGGGAGGAACACCAGUGGCGAAGGCGACUACCUGGCCUGUUCUUGACGCUGAGGCGCGAAAGCUAGGGGAGCAAACGGG